RNAcentral lists this ribosomal RNA (465 nucleotides) under uncultured bacterium. RNAcentral describes it as "partial 16S ribosomal RNA". It matches the Rfam family "Bacterial small subunit ribosomal RNA", at positions 339 to 795 of the family's 1533-position model. The record is from RNAcentral.
CUACGGGUGGCAGCAGUGGGGAAUUUUGCACAAUGGGCGAAAGCCUGAUGCAGCGACGCCGCGUGGAGGAUGAAGGUCUUCGGAUUGUAAACUCCUGUUAAGUGGGAAGAAAGUUUCAUGAUUAAUACUCAUGAAAGAUGACGGUACCACUGGAGAAAGCUCCGGCUAACUUCGUGCCAGCAGCCGCGGUAAUACGAAGGGAGCAAGCGUUAUUCGGAAUUACUGGGCGUAAAGGGCGCGUAGGCGGCCUGUUAAGUCAGUUGUUAAAUACCACGGCUUACCUGUGGACCAGCGAUUGAUACUGGCGGGCUAAGAGGACAAGAGAGAGAAGUGGAAUUCUCGGAGUAGCGGUAAAAUGCGUAGAUCUCGAGAGGAACACCAAUGGCGAAGGCAGCUUCUUGGCUUGUACCUGACGCUGAGGCGCGAAAGCGUGGGGAGCAAACAGGAUUAGAUACCCGGGUAGUC